RNAcentral lists this ribosomal RNA (301 nucleotides) under uncultured bacterium. Its description in RNAcentral is "partial 16S ribosomal RNA". It matches the Rfam family "Bacterial small subunit ribosomal RNA", at positions 509 to 807 of the family's 1533-position model. The record is from RNAcentral.
CAGCAGCCACGGUAAUACAGAGGGUGCGAGCGUUAAUCGGAUUUACUGGGCGUAAAGCGUGCGUAGGCGGCUUCUUAAGUCGGAUGUGAAAUACCUGAGCUUAACUUAGGAAUUGCAUUCGAUACUGGGAAGCUAGAGUAUGGGAGAGGAUGGUAGAAUUCCAGGUGUAGCGGUGAAAUGCGUAGAGAUCUGGAGGAAUACCGAUGGCGAAGGCAGCCAUCUGGCCUAAUACUGACGCUGAGGUACGAAAGCAUGGGGAGCAAACAGGAUUAGAUACCCCAGUAGUCCCUGUCUCUUAUAC